This is a long non-coding RNA of Uranotaenia lowii, 609 nucleotides long. RefSeq lists it as uncharacterized. Lineage: Eukaryota; Metazoa; Arthropoda; Insecta; Diptera; Culicidae. The transcript has 2 exons. The record is from RefSeq and is a predicted model, not a curated record.
CCCUUAUUCUGCGCCGCGCGUGACGUGAUGAUUGUCACCUCACCUCGGAGUCACCGUGAGAUUUGUCACCUUAUUCCCGUAGUCGAUGUGGGUAAAGUGACGGAGGUUCAUUCGUAGGUGAGUGACUGAGUGAGCUCAUGUGUCAAACUAGCUCGGUUUGUUUUGUUUUGCUCGCGUUUCCGAAUUUUAAAAUUAGUUUUUAAAUCAACAACUGCGAAUUUCGGUUCGGAAAAGACCACAAUCUAAUUUUACGGUGUUAGCAAGUCGUCCAGGCCGGAUUUGGAGCCGACAUUUGCAGCGGAUGAGCUGGUAAGCUGACUGAUUGGAGCAGAAAAACUAACCGCAAAUCAAAUGCCCAAGCCGGCGGAUGAGUCCACCAACCAGUCAUCAUAAAACCCUUAAAACGGAUUUAAUUUAGCUUAUCCAAUAAGUUAUUUAGUGCCUGACUAGCCUGAAGAAAAACGUCACGCUGCUGGGGAGACCUAUUAAUUUAACCGUUUUUUUAUAUUUUCGAAUGGCAGCAGCGCUUGCCGUAUUAAAUUGUAGUUUGUUAAAUUUAAUGUUUAGAAGAUCAUUUGAAAAAUAUAAACUUAUUCAAUUAAAAACUUA